GGUUAUUGAGAAGAACAUUAGCAAGUACAGAAAAUGCAUCAACGUACAGGUAAUGAAGGUGAGGGAGAAGUACAGUUCCUAGGAAUGGUGAGAACACUUGCAACAUACAACGAGUGUACGUGCGAAGUCAAUUACAUCGUCAGCAGUACUAGAUACCAUGUUCUGACGACUUUAAAAUGUGGUAUACCCCUGUCUUUUACACACUUAAUGAAUGAUCCUACACACUUGGUGAAAAAAUGCAGUACAACAUUAAGAGCAUAGUUGUGAAAAAUCCAGAGCUGACACUAACAUUGUAUAUUUUUACACCUGGUAGCUAUGGAUUACUAACACUAAACACAAUUCUGAGGUCUGUGUGACUUUAGACACCUAACCACAGGCAUAUCACCAUUAGACAUGUAAUGUAGUUGUGUGGGGAGUGUGGCAGGUACAGGAGUGUCUCUUUGUGUAAUAACAUAAGGUUGGCCAAUUGGAAUCCAAAUGGUAAAAUGCAGGCUCAAAUAGCCAUGCUGUGAUUAUGGCUAGUGUGGAGAGUGUUUCCGGAUUAGUUAGAUGUCAUAUUCGGAUCUUAAUUUGCUACAAUUUUUAGUUUAGCAAAACAUCCUGUCUGAUUGUGAAUCAAUUUAACUUGUAAAUAGAAACAAACCUGACAAAUAUUAUCAUUAAAUACAUGUAAAUUAUAAUAAUAUUGAUA
Non-coding RNA from Pelobates cultripes (western spadefoot toad), 691 nucleotides. NCBI's taxonomy places the organism in Eukaryota, Metazoa, Chordata, Amphibia, Anura, Pelobatidae. The record is from the annotation of a GenBank genome assembly.